AUACGUAGGGUGCAAGCGUUAAUCGGAAUUACUGGGCGUAAAGCGUGCGCAGGCGGUUUUGUAAGACAGAGGUGAAAUCCCCGGGCUCAACCUGGGAACUGCCUUUGUGGGUGCAAGGCUAGAGUACGGCAGAGGGGGAUGGAAUUCCGCGUGUAGCAGUGAAAUGCGUAGAUAUGCGGAGGAACACCGAUGGCGAAGGCAAUCCCCUGGGCCUGUGCUGACGCUCAUGCACGAAAGCGUGGGGAGCAAACAGGAUUAGAUUCCCUGGUAGUCCACCCCCUAAACGAUGUCAACUGGUUGUUGGGUCUUCAUUGACUCAGUAACGAAGCUAACGCGUGAAGUUGACCGCCUAGGGAGUACGGCCGCAAGGUUGAAACUCAAAUGAAUUGACGGGG
RNAcentral lists this ribosomal RNA (395 nucleotides) under uncultured bacterium. RNAcentral describes it as "partial 16S ribosomal RNA". It matches the Rfam family "Bacterial small subunit ribosomal RNA", at positions 523 to 918 of the family's 1533-position model. The record is from RNAcentral.